Molecule: ribosomal RNA, 691 nt
Filed under: Fusarium oxysporum f. sp. lilii
Lineage: Eukaryota; Fungi; Ascomycota; Sordariomycetes; Hypocreales; Nectriaceae
Description: SSU rRNA
Rfam family: Bacterial small subunit ribosomal RNA
Source: RNAcentral
ACUGGCACUUGGAGAGUGGCAAGUCUUCCAGUAUGGGGAGCAAAACAGCUAUGGGUCAAGCCCGAUAUCUUUAGGAGAAGUCUUAUUGUGAGGGCGAGUUAUAUAACACCAUAGGACUGGCCGUCCCAUAUGAAAAGAUUAUAUUAGAAUUGAAUGAAGCUUUGUUUAUAUAUUGAUAAUGACAGUAUAUAUAUCGUGUCUUGACUAAUUGCGUGCCAGCAGUCGCGGUAAUACGUAAGAGACUAGUGUUAUUCAUCUUAAUUAGGUUUAAAGGGUACCCAGACGGUCAAUAUAGCUUAUAAAAUGUUAGUACUUGACUAGAGUUUUAUGUAAGAGGGCAGUACUUGAGGAGGAGAGAUGAAAUUUCGUGAUACCAAAGGGACUCUGUAAAGGCGAAGGCAGCCCUCUAUGUAAAAACUGACGUUGAAGGACGAAGGCACAGAGAACAAACAGGAUUAGAUACCCAAGUAGUCUUUGCAGUAAAUGAUGAAUGCCAUAGGUUAGAUUGAUCAAUUAUAGUCUAGGGUUAGUCUAGCAAACUAAUGCCCUAUGAUAUAAUUCAAAAUAUCUGGUCUAUAAAUGAAAGUGUAAGCAUUUCACCUCAAGAGUAAUGUGGCAACGCAGGAACUGAAAUCACUAGACCGUUUCUGACACCAGUAGUGAAGUAUGUUAUUUAAUUCGAUAAUCCGCA